GGAAUUAUGUCAUUCACCGAGAAAACAUCAAGCUGCAUAGAAGUAUAUAUAUAAAACAUCGAAUUUGCAAAUACUAUUUCUGAAUCAAUGUUCAAAUUAAACCUUAAGCUGCAAAAGUUGCAGACAAUUCCUUUUUUCGGAAUAUAGAAUCUGUUCUUACGGAUAUUUAAAUUUUCCAACAAAACCAAUUAUAAAAUAAGAGAGGAAAAAAUAAAAUAGCAUUUUUCCAUGUUUAUUAGUCAUAGUGCCAAAGUGCCACUAAGAUUUUGCAGGUAUGCCCACUCAUCCACCAGUGAAGCACCUUCUGUUAAUAAGCUUAGACUUGAGCAACACUUGUGUUUAUACCAUAUGAUUCUACCAAAUAGUUUUAAUUCAAUAAUUUAGGGUUUAGUAUAGAUUUUGAAAUAAGAAAUUUUGUGAAUUUUAGAAGUUUUUGCAAUAAUUUCAACUCUUAAAGAAAGCAGACCUGUUUUGUGCAUUAUAAUCAGUGAAUGAUAUCGGAUGAAAUGACCAACUUAAGUUUUGGAGAUUUGGCUGUUGGUGGUUAAUAGUUAUGGGGAGUGAGUCAAUGGUACCUGUUCCCUCAUGAGUUUUAACUUCUGCGCUUGAGAAGCUGUGUUUAGGUGGCUGCCCUUGAGGUUGAACCUUCUACCACCAGUUUCUUCUUUCCCCGCACUUCCCCUGUUUUGUAUAAGUAGCACCUUUCUAUGAGUUGGUUAUCUUAAUAAAUCAUAAUAAUAACAAUGACAUUUAAUAAUUAAAGUGUAAAAUUUUCGAUCUCCUACAGCAUUUAAAAACAAAGCAUCAAAGCCUAAUACCUGAGUGCUGGAUUGGGUCAGCCAAGUAUUGUGGGGAAAAAUAGUUGGUGAAAAUCUCCUCCACAGAUUCAUCCUCCCAUUCCAACCUUCCCCACCAGGUUAGAUCUCCUUCAAUUUUCUUUAAGCUCUUGGCGGCACUGUUUGAAUCGAUUGGGAGCCUCCUUAGCCUCGGGCAAUCGAUCACAGAGAUUAUUUCCAAUGAAGGGAAGAGCAGUGCCCCCUGAUAGAUGCUCUCUAGCAUUGGCAUACCACCUAAUACUAGAGAUGUGAGCCUUGUGAAUAUGCUGGCGUGCUGUGCAAUUGAAGUUACAUAUUCAAUACUUAUCACUUCUUUCAUGGAUUCACAGGAUUGAACACUAAGUGACUGAAGGCAUGCAGCAUAAAUAAGCCAGGUCAAGUUCAACAGUUUUGGACAACUCCAAAUCUUGACAUCACGAAGACUGUGGAAGUGUUGGUUGCUUCUCGCUAUCAACUGAGGGUUGGGGGUAUCAUAUGAUUGUUCCAAUCCUUUGCCUCCCUGUUUUUCCAUACUAAUUUUCAUUUCUUCCAAUUGAAGACAAUUGAAUAUAACAAGAGUCUCCAAAUAGUUCAGAGAUAUUGAUGAUAGCUCAAGCAACAAGAAAUCUCUGCAGUCAUGUAUACUUAAUCUUCUUAUGCACCUUUGUAAUUUGUAGGAGCUCAGUAAUUUAUUGAGAGCAGCAACAUUACGGAAGGAGAGAGAUAACUCAUCCAUAGCUUCUAUGGACUCCAAUUCCUCCAAUAAGGUGGUGCGAAAUGCAGAUAAAGCAUUUCCAUCAUACAUACUGAACAAUUGUAAUGAUGAAAGACUAGAUAUCAAUUGUGGAGGAAUUAUAAGUGCAAGCAUACCGUCAAGUAACAAGCACCUCAGUUUUGUCAACUUCAUGAUCUCAAUCGGCAGCUCUUUUACUUGUGUCAUUGAAAGAUUAAUGUAUUCCAAGUUCAUUAAUCUGUCAAUCCCAUCAGGUAACUCAGUUAAACAAUGAGUGGCUGACAAAUCUAGAACUCUUAUGAGAGGCAUGAAUUGGAAGAAUCCUCUUGGAAACGUCUUCAAUUGAAUGCACUCCCUCACAAAGAGAGUCUGGAGAGUAGAGCAAUGUGGUGUUCCUGGGAGUUUCUCAAUAUUCCAUCCCCACAAUGAUAUCCUUUCUGCCUCCUUCCAGCUGGUGACUCUCUCAGCCUCAACACGCCCAAGAGAUUCAGACACCAAAAUCUUGUUCAUCUUUUUUCCACAUUCUUGACCUAUCCAUAGAGCCAUGUCCUGUAUCACAUCGUGCAUCUUGAUACAUUCUUUAAAUCCAUCACCCUCCUCUAACAAGCUUGCAUUCUUUAGGUCUUCAAUGAUUUUGUGUCCUCGUCUGCAUGCUUCAUAUAUGUCCUUACGGUCAAAAAAUCCUUCACCAAUCCAAUGUUCUAUAAGCUCAUCAUUCCUAAUUUCAUAUCCCUUGGGAAACACAGAACAGUAUAUGAAACAAGAUUUGGUGAUAUCGUCUGUCAAGCUAUCAUAGCUUAGUUUCAAAACAUUAAACUGAUCCUCCAUACCUGAAAUUUCCACUGGGAAUUUCUCCAGUUCUUGGAUUGCCUGAUCCCAUUUCUCGGGAGAAUUCUUGUCAGCCAUUGCUCGUCCAACAGUAACAAGGGCAAGUGGCAAGCCUUUGCACCGCUCUGCCACCUUUUCAGCAAGCUGCGGUAUAUCAGGGUGAGAAUUCAGAGUGUUCUCUCCGACCUUCUUCAUGAACAAAGCCAAGGCUUCUUCCUGUUCCAAACACUCUACUCUAAACUUCCGUUCAACUUCCAUUUCAGUGCAUGUUUUCUGUAAUCGAGUUGUGAUUAUUACUCUGAAAUUCAGAAGACUUGGAAGAGGAGGAACUCCUAUUCUUGAGAGAUCAAAUGGUUGCCAUACAUCAUCUAAAAGUAGCACAAAGUCUUUUGUUUUCAAGAUGUUGAAUAUUUUUAUAGCCCUUUCAUCCUCUGUUCUACCUUGCCACAUGCUAUCCGGGAUCUGUAAUUGAGUCAGAAUUCCCUCUUGAGCCGCUCUCACACUUUCUUGCACCUUUUCUUUCUUGGACACGGCAACCCAAAUCACUGUAUGGAAUUGGUUACUUGUUUUGAGGAACUCGUUGUUGAUUUUCUUCAUUAGUGUUGUUUUUCCAAUGCCUCCUGUUCCAUAUAAUCCAAUAAUUCUUACUCUAUUGUCGGUGAGGCAGCUGCACACUCUCUCAUACAACCGAUCUAAGCCCACGAUAUGCCCAAGAGGCAUUUCAUCUACCACAGCACGAGGCAACCUGUCUGGUACAGAAUAAAAAUGUUCGAUAAGCUCAUCAUUUCUAAUCACAUAUUCCUUGGGAAAUAUAAAGCAAUAUAUGGAACAAGGUUUGGUGAUAGAUAAUAACUUAGCUUCAAAACAUGAAACAAUUGAUCCUCCGUACCUGAAAUUUCUAGAAGGAAGUUCUCCAGUUCCUGUAUCGCUUGUUCCCAUUCCCCGAGAGUAUUCUUACCAGCCAAUGCUCGUCCAACAGUAACGAGUGCAAGUGGCAAGCCAUUGCAUCUCUCCAUAACGCUGUAGGCAAGAUUUCGUAUAUCAGGACGAGAACUUAGAGUGUCCUCUCUGAGCAUCAGCAUGAACAAAUUCAAGGCUUCUGUCGAUGGCAAACACUCUACUUUAAACCUCCUUUGAGCUUCCAUCUCACUGCAGAUUUUCAAGGAUCGAGUUGUGAUUAUUACUUUGGACCUGUUUUUAGCAUCCGGAAGAGGAACUCCUAUUUCUGAGAGUUCAAUUCCUUGGCGUACGUUGUCCAACAACAGCAAAGACCUUUGUCUUUUCAUGAUAUUGAAUAUUUGUAUGGCCUUUUCAUCCUGACUUCUAUUUUGCCACAUUCUAUCAUUGAUCUGUAGCUUGUUUGCAAUCACCUCUUGAGCAGAUGUCACGCUUGCUUGAUUCGACACUGCAACCCAAAUCACUAUAUUAAAUUCGUGAGAAAAUUUGAGGAGGCAAUGGUUGUUGAUUUUCUUCAGUAGUGUUGUCUUGCCAACACCGCGUACUCCAUAUAAUCCAACAAUUCCUACUUCAUCUUCGUCAAAGCAUCUGCACACCCUCUGAGACAGAGAAUCUAAGCCCACGGUAUGCCCAAGAGGUAAUUCAUCUACAACAGGACGAAGAAACUUGGCUGCUACUCUUUCAAAAUCUCCUCUUGUUAUUAGUUCCUCCGCACGCGUGCUUUUUUCAGCCACUCUCUUUACAAGGUUGUAUUUUUGCCGGAUACUGCAACAGCUUCCCAGACAGUAUUGCUUUUCUAGUAGUAGAUCCGCUUCUUGCAGAAUUGCAUCCACUUCAUUUUUCAAGUCACCAACGUCACAAAGCCAGCCUUGCACCUCCCGUAGGGGUAUCAUCUGUUCUCGCUGUUCAAGUUCCAGUCUGCUCUUUACAUCUUCACAUUGAAAGUCCAGUCUCUGCAUUUGGCGUCUCAAGUUUUCAACAUUUUGUUUGAGAGAACGGAUAUGAGAGACACAAUUGGCCGUGCAAUCCCACAGGCUAGUGGCAAGAGUGAGGAUCGGGCUCACACAUUCCAUGCUCUCAGGGAAUCUGAAAAACCAGGACCUGAAAUUGAAGACAAUAGAAAGAGCAAUGAAGGGAAUAAGAGGUGAUGGCUGCUAGCUGUAACACGGGAAGCCAUGAAUCGUUUUCCUUUGUACAGCUGGGGCUCGAUGCACUCAAAGUCUACAACUACUGAGAAACCAAGGUUUGUUUUUUUCUUUAUUUUAUAAUUUUUAUUUUUUUCAAUUCUUAAAAUAAGUUUUUUUUUAGAGCCAUUUUGUUUUUAAUUGAGGAUUAAUUGAUUAAAAGGGAUGAAAAUAUAUCAAAUUUGUAAAACUAGCCUCUCCCAUUUUUGAACUUGAAGAGUAACCAAUUUUUGACAUAAAUGCCCUUCAACAUUUUCAUUAUUUACAUGUGUACUUUAAAAUAAAAGAUUAUUUUUGCAAGAAAAUAUGGGGGUAUUCUUGUCCAAAAUGGCUAUUCUUUUUUCUUGGGUAAAAAUGAAUGGGUGGUUAAAUUUGUAAUUUUAUAUUUCUUUUGUUCAUUUUAAUCUGUUAUCCCUUUAAUUUAUCACCUUUUGGGACAAUUUUGUUAGAAAAUUUGUACCUUUUAUCUCAAUGAAAAAGUUACUUUUCUCUUUUCCUUUUUCAACUCUAAUUUUAUUGUAAUACUUAAACCCAAAUUUUCAUAUGAAAUAAAACUAAAAUUUUGAAACGUUUGAAUAACUCUCAUUUUAAUAACAAGCACCAAGACAAAUGUAUAAGAAGUUCGAUUAUUUUAUGACAAGCCAUAAGUAUACUAGAACUUCAUUUGACCAUUAUGUGUUUGAAAAUAAAUAAUUUUGUGAUGAUUUCAUUAUUCUCCUGUUAUAUAUAGAUGACAUGUUUAUUAUUUGCUAGAAUGCGAGUAAGAUUGAGAAGUUGAAAAGGGAGUUGAGUGUCUUUUGCAAUGAAAGACUUGGGUUUAGCAAAGCAUAUACUCAACAUGAAGAUAUCUCAUGAUGAUAGGAAGAAUGAGAAACUUUGGCUAUCUCAAGAAGCUUACAUUGAGAAAGUUCCUGAAAGACUCAACAUAACACAUGCAAGUCACUUCAAGCACACAACCAAGUAGUGUCUUACAAAAGUCAUCUAUUGUUGGCAAUUUGAUGUACGUUAUGAUUUCUACAACGCUAGAUAUUGCUCAUACAAUUAGAGUUGUUAGUCAGUUUCUUUCUAAUCCUAUAAAAGAACAUUGGUUGUAAUAAAGUGGAUAUUAAGGUGUCUGAGAGGCACUUCCAGGGUGUGCUUAUACUUCGACAGUGGUGAACCUAUGUUAGAUGGGUACACAGAUCUAGACAUAACAAGAGAUAUUGAUUUCAGGAAGUCCACUUUGGGUUCCUAAUGACUUCUGUAAGGGGAUCAAUUUCUUGGCAAUCAAAGUUGCAUAAAUGUAUUGCUUUAUCCACCAUAAAAGUUGAAUAUAUUGCAAUUAUUGAAUCUUGCAAGGAAGCUUUGUGAAUAAGAAAGUUCUUAGAAGAACGAGGCCUACAACAAAAGAAGUAUGUUGUCUAUAGUGAUAGUCAAAGGGUCAUCCACCUCUCUAAGAACUCAACAUUUCACUCAAAAUCCAAGCAUAUUGAUGUGAGAUACCACUGGAUUCGUAAUGUGCUCGAAACAAAGCAACUACACCAGGAGAAAAUAGAUACUAGUGAAAACGGAUCAGGUAAGUUGACAAAAUCUUUAUCAAAGGAGAAACUUAUAGCUAGGUAGAGAGCGGACUUGGUAAAGCCCACUACAUGAGGUGGAGGGGGAGUUUGUUGGGUUGUUUGCUCCUUGUGUGGGCUAGAUGCAUAAAUGGGCUUUAACCCCAAUUGCUUCAAAAAAAAGAAAAAAAAAAAAGGAAAACAAAUUAUGAGGUAUAUAAAGCAAGAAGCACAGAGAGAGAGAGAUAGAGAGAGAAAUGGGGUUUAAAUGAAAUUGCAACAAGAUUGGGUGGUGAAACAGUGUCAGUUUCAACUCAAAUUUGAAGUGAUAAAUCCUCGUGAAGAGUUUCUCUCUUCUACCAGGCUUGAUUCUCCAUUUGAUCUCUCUAAGGUGCUUUUCCAAAAUAUCCAUUUGAUGAGAUCUACACUUUGCCAUUGGUGUAAAGUUGAAAUAUCCAUCUUUAUUAAUGAUGAAUAUUAUUGUUAAUCAUAAUAUAUUUCUUGAUAUUUGCGAGCCUUAAAUUUUAUCUACAGAGAAACUUUGUAAACCCAUUUUACUUAUCAUGCACAUCGUUUCUUCCAUUAAUGCAAGAUGUCGCUUGAAGACUGGACGGUGGCAUGGAUAAUGUUAAUAAGUUAGAACCUAGGCCAAAAUAUAGUUAUUUUAAUAUUACCCUAGAUAGGGAUACUUUUUGCUUUAAUUUUGGGAAAAAAAAUAAAUAAAGUUGCUAAAUUAGUAUUGUUAAGUAGUCAUUUGCAUAUCAUGUUGCAUACUUUUCUUGCCAUUUUCUCUCUUUUAGCAAUUGACUAAUAGAAAAUUGUAUCAGCCUUUUUCUUCCAACCUUUGAAUGAUUUUUUUUGUUAAAUUCGUUAAUUUUCACCUUUCACCUAUAGAUUAAAAACAAAUAAAUAAAUUUUUUGUAUAUUUCUCAGUAUAUGAUUUCUAUUCUUAUAAAUUUUUUAUUUUUUUAACAAAUCCUUUCAUCCACUCAACUUUGAUGAAAAGUCUCCUCUCAUAAGGGAGAAUUUCUCUUAAUGGUAAGGUUUCAGACAACUAAAAAAUGAAGUGUUUUUUUCUUAUUAAAAAGAAUUCAUUCGUUUUGAAUGUUAAUUUAAAUAUUUAAAUUCAAGUUUUGCCACAAUUAUGAAAACAAAUUAUUUAACAUUUUAAUUCGCCGACUUCUUUUCAUAUUCAAUGCCAAAUUGUUAGUUAGGUUGUCACGAGCAACCAAAUUUUAUUUGAUACGUCAGUUGUAUUGGGAAAAAGCCUAAUAGAUUAAUAUGUCUAGACACUUAUAUAAAGAAUAAUCAUAAUGAUUAAUGAUUUAAUUAAUAAUAAAUGCAAGGUGAUGCUAAAGAAAAUAUAAAAUGAACUAAGUAAUAUAAAAUGAAAGGUGAUGCUUCCAUGUACAUUGUGAUGGAAAAAUGGCGUUAAAAACAUAUACCAUUAGAAAACUUAGUUCCUAUUUGGUAACUGUUUUUUAAAACAGUUUUGAAAAAUAGUUUUUGAGAGCAUUUUUUGAAAACUAUUCUUUGAUGUUUUAUGGAACAAAAGUCUAUUUGGAAGCGUAUAAUGUUUUUAACUUAUUUUUAUAGAUUUUAACAAAAGACUAUUUGAACAAAAGUCUCUUACUUAUAAAUGAAGUGGAAUUCUCUAUUCAUAGGUUUUAACCAAUGGGAGCCAAAAGGGUUGAAAAGUAACCUUAGUCGGUCAAGCUUUGGUUCAACCGGUUGACUAGUUGUUGGACAUUAAAUAUACUACAGGUGACCAUUGGACCUCGAUUGGGCCUCGAUCAGGAAAACCUACCCCUCGAUCAAGAGAUGUCUCACCUUUGACUGAGAAUGCAUAGCAAUUGGAAGAGAAAAAAUAUUUUUUUUGCAUUCCUUGAUCGGUCCUCAAAUGAAAAGACUUAACUGGUUGAUUGGUUCCAUGACCAGUUGACUAGUCUCCAUGACCAAUUGACUAGUCUCCAUGACUAGUUGACUAGUCUCCUUGACCGAUUAACUUAUUUUGGCUUGAAAACCUUUUUUUUUUCUAUGUCUUUUACUUCUAACACUUAGACAAGGUCUUUAAAUAUAUUAAUAUGUCAAUUUUAAAACAGUUUGCCUAAGGGUCAUAUGAGAAAACUCGGGUUUUAAUAAGAAUUUAACUUUGAUGCAUAAACCAAGUUUUUAAAGAUGCAUGCAUUGGUACAAAAAUCCUAAGGAUAUCCAUGCAUUCACCUUACAUAUAAAUCCUAAGCUUGAACGGUCUUCAUAUUCUCUCAAGCAUGCAUCAUUUGAUUCCUCGAUGAGUGUCUUGUCCUUCCAAUUUGAAUUUCUUAAUGAAAACCUAAAAAAUAUCUUGAUUUUGAACCAUUAGUAUAAUAACCACGGUUUGUUAUCAUCAAAAUAUGAUUAGGAGAACACUUGGGCUAAUGUGGGCAAAUAGUGAAAAUGAGGAUGCAACUAGAAUAGUGAGACCCAAAGAAAGUAAUGACACUGAACUACCAUAAUCUAAAAUUGAACCCCCCCACUCUUCAGUAUCCAAAGACCCAUCUCUUUAGAAUAUUCCUGAGGCAGGCUCUCCUAUUACAUCUUCUCCUAAUAAUGAUUUGGGUACUUCUAUGGGUUGAAACUUAGUUUUCAAACAUAAUUGUGGCAAACCACCAAAUCAGUACUUACUAGAUUUCAGAGAAAGAAGAUCCAGAUACCCAAUUGCAAAUUAUUUAUCUACUCAAAAGCUAUCAAAACCUCUCAAGGUGAUUGCAUACAAAUUGUUCUUAUGUUAUGUUCCAAUAGGGUCCAAUUAAUAGACCCAAAAUGGGUUCAAGUAAGAAAAGAAGAAAUGAAGGUUCUAUAAAAAUAAAUAAAUAAAUAAAACAUGGACCUUUGUCCCAUUACUAAAAAGAAAACAAAUAGUAAGUGUGUAUUCUACAUCAAAUACAAGGUGGAUGGGUUUGUUGAGAUAUACAAUGCAAGGUUGAUAGCAAAAAGAUAUACAUAAACUUAUGGUGUAGAUUAUAAAGAGACCUUCUCACCUAUGAAAAAAUUGAAUAUUGUUAGAGUUUUGUUGUCUCUUGUAGAAAAUUCUAUUACAUCUGUUUGAUGUUAAAAAAAUGCAUUUCUCCAUGAUGACCUUGAGGAUGAGGUUUACAUGGAUAUUCCACUUGGAUAUAUUGCAUCGACUAAGACUAGGGUUGUAUGUAAGUUACAAAGGGCUCUAUCAUGGGUUAAAGUAAUCACCCUGCAUGUGGUUCGGUCAUUUUAGCUUGGCUCUGAAAAAGUAUGGGUUUCAACAGAGCAACUCAUAUCAUACUUUGUUUUUGAAACACCGAUUCGAAAAAUUAACACUUCUUAUAAGUUAUAAUAUAUAUAUGUAAAUGAUAUGAUUAUUACAGGAGAUAAUAUGGAAGAGAUCAUUAGACUUCAAGAGCAAUUGGAAAUUGAAUUCAAAAUGAAGAACCUUGGAGAGCUUAAGCAUUUUUUGGGAAUUAAAGUGGGAAGAUCAAAACAAAGUAUAUUUCUUUCUCAAAGGAAACAUGUACUAGACCUAUUGUUAGAAUUAGGCUAAUGAAUUGUAAGUCAAGAGAUACUCUAAUUAUUCAAAAUCACAAACUCAGAGAGCAUAAUGAUUAGGUUCUAACAAAUAAAGAAAAAUAUCAAAGGCUAGUUAGAAAGUUAAUCUACUUAUCCCAUAUUUGCCAUAUUUGCCCAAACAUUGCCUAUAAAUCAGUUCAUGCUCUAUCUGAGUGAAGAUCACAUGGAUGUAGUAGUACGGAUUCUUCACCAUUUAAAGUCCUCCUUGGGAAAAAUGACUGAUGUUCUCCAAAAAUGACAUGAAACAAUUAAUCAAAGGGUACAUGAAUGUAGAUUAAGUAGGAAGAGUUGAUGAUAGGAAGUUCACAUUGAGUUAUUUUACGUUUGAAGAAGGAAAUUUAGCCACAUAGACGAGUAAGAAGCAAAAUGUGGUAUCUUUAUCAAGUGUCGAGGCCAAGUUCAAAGGAAUGGCCAACGGUCUUAAUGAACUUCUAUGGCUUAAAAGACUGUCAAAUAAAAUUGGCAUAGCUCCUAGCUUUGAGAUGAAUUUGUUCUAUGACAACAAAAUAGAUAUUGAUAUUGCACACAACCCCAUUUAGCAUCAUCAUACUAAACACGUCAAAGUAGACUGACAUUUCAUCAAAUAGAAUCUCAAAGCUAAGAUAAUUUGUUUUCUAUUUGUGAAAUUUGAAGAUUGACUAGCAGAUAUUUUUACGAAGGUUGUUUCAAGCAAGGUGUUCAACAACUCACUUAAUAAGUUGGGCAUUAGAGAUAUCUAUACACCAACUUGAGGGGAAGUGUUAGCAAGGGUUGUCAAUAGGUUGUCAUUGAUAACUAAUUAGAAUAAUUGUAGGCUAUGAUCAGAUUGUUAUUGGAAUCUCUUCUUUCAAGGGAUGCAAAUAUAUAUAUUUUUUCCUUAGAUAACUCUUAGCCAUGGAUGCCUUUUUUCUUUCUUCUGUAUUAUAUAUGGAGAUGUAAUGGUUGCUAUGCAACAAAAAAAAAGUUGAAAUAUUCCUUUCCAAGUGGCCUUCGACAUCAUAAAAUAAUGAAAAUAAUGAACCACAAAAUAUGAAAGAAUACUAAUAGAGAAAUAUUUAACAAAAAUGAUAAAAGAAAAUAUAGGUAGAGCUAAAUUAAGUUCAAAUACGUGAAGACAUAAAGUCUAUUGCAUAUAAAUAAACCUGAAAUCUAACGCCUAAAGAUAUACAAACUAUUAGAUAAAAAUGUAUGAUUCGAGAUAAAAGAAAAAUUAUAUCAUAAGAUUUCACAUAAAAACCUUAUAUCAGCAAUAACUCAAUUAUAUGAUCAAUAGUCCCUAAAUAAUGUGAUAUAUAUGAUGUAACUAUAAUAUAUUUAUAUGGAUUUAAAACACUUGAAGUAGAUUUCCUAAAGGAUGAAAUGUCUACAAUAAUGAUUAAAAAUCUUAUAUCAUAUUCUAGAUCAAGUCAUGAAAAUUUACUUGAUCCAAUUAGAGGAUUUGUAGUUUUUAUAAUCUUGUUGAAACUCCUAUAAGGCUCAAAGGAAAGGAAAACCAAAAUUGUCUGCUUUUGAAGGUCAAGAAAUUCAAAAUUUCUUGUCAUUUUUUUUUGUCCAAGCCCUAACUAAAAUCGCUAAAGGGGCUAUUCAAACUUGCCUAAAAUAAGGCUGAGUUGAACUCUCACAAGUUGCACCCAUAAUCGCUAUUAUGGAAUUUUCAAGUAAGUGUAUUCAAAAGAUAAGUUUCUUUUUACAUUUAUGAUAAUUAUACAUGGAAGUUAUAUAUUACUAUUUUUUAUGUUUUAAAAAAUAAAAAGAAAGUGUAUUCAAGCAAGCAUUAAUUUUUUUCUUUAGUAUUAAAGACAUGAAUAUGAUAAUUAUACAUGGAAGUUAUAUAUUACUAUUUUUUAUGUUUUAAAAAAUCAAAAGAAAGUGUAUUCAAGCAAGCAUUAAUUUUUUUCUUUAGUAUUAAAGACAUGAAAACAAAAUUUAGAUCACUAUUAAAUGAUAUAAAUAUGACAUAUUAUUUGAUAUAUCAUGCACAUCUUUUUUGCAAUUGAUGAAAGAUGCUCCUCAAAGCCAUGACAUCGGAGUGGAUCAUGUUAAUCAUUUUGAAAUUAGGGCAAUAAAUGUUUACUUUAAUAUUGCCUUAGCCAGGGAUACAUUUUUGUUUAAUUUUUGGCAAAAAAAAAAAAAAAAAAAAGUUGUUAAACUAUCAUUGUCAAGUGGUCCUUUGCACCAAUGUUUUAAAAACCGGACCGAACCGGCCGGUCCAAUCGGUUCAACCAUCGACCGGUUGCAAUUCCGGUUCGAUUUACCCUAUUAGACCAUUUUAACAUUGAACCAGUCACGGACCGCCUAAACCAGCGGUCGGACUGAUGAACCAGUAAAACCAAACUAUUCCAAACGAACUGCAAUGUCCAAAUUGACCCAUCAUUUUGCAAGCAUGAGGACCCCAUUGUAUAAAAACUGUAGGCAAAAAUCCAUACUAGGCCAUGUCUUAAUAUGACAAAGCCCACACCCAAACCAUUUAAGUGAGCUGAGCCUUGAGCCCACAAGAUGUGGCUUUCAAUAAGGAUACCUUUUAUAGGCAUCCUUUGCACCCUUAUAUCUCUCACAAUCCGAUGUGGGAUUGCAAACUAAUAUGAUAAUAUCAAUGAAAAAAAAUUAACAAAUGCAACCAAGAGGAUUUGAAGUUGGACCUUAGGUUUUGUGAGUAAACUAGGACACCACUCGGCUACAACCGAUUUGUUAUUUGAUAUGCCAAACAAAACAAUAUAUAUUGGAUUUAAUUUUUUUUUAUAAUAUUGAAUAAAAAUAAUAUAAUAUUUUUAAAAAUUAUAAAAUUAGUUAAAAUUUUUAUUUUUAAUAUAUUCACAUUUAAAUAUUGUACACAUUUCAUUUAAUAUGAUUUAAUUUGAUAAUAUCAAAUAUAUAAAAUAAUAUUAUUGAUUUUUAAUUUAUUCAUAUAUAUUUAAAAAAAUUUAUAAUUAUUUUUAAUUUUAAUAAUAUAUAAAUUACAUAUUUAUGACGUCACCGGUUUGACCGCGGUUCGAUCACCAGUUCGAUCGGUGAACCGUGAACCGGUAACUUUUUCGAUUCAAUGAUCGGUCCGAUUAUGAAAACAUUGCUUUGCACAUUGUUUCAUUAUUUUCCUUUUUUUUUUUUUUUUAAAGCAAUUGACCAAUAUAAAACACAAGGUGAUCAAUUGUUAUGGAGUUGAAACUCAGUGUGGACGGUAAAGAAAAAUAUAAAAGCAAUUGGCAGAGCUGGCUUAUGCUUGGGAGGGGCACAUGCCCCAUUCCCUUGACCUAACGUACAAUUGGAAAAUUUUGUUGCCAUUGGGCCAUAUAUCCUAGUUUUAUUAUUUGCUGUCCCCAUAGAGAAGAAAGGUAAGACGAUGAGAAAAAAAAAAUAGAAAUCAAAUAUAAAAAAAUAUAAGUAAAAUUAAAUAUUGAAUUUUGUAACCUUUUCGGCUACAGUUCUUUCUCAAGUACCAUAUUUAUUUUUAUAAAUAGAAAACAAAAUACUAGAAUAUACACCUUUUUUUUACAUAUACAUUACUUUAUGUUUUUUUCUUUUCUCUUUAACCAUUUGUGUAUUGGUUUAAUCUGCCCUCUACUUCAAUUAUGGUUUUAUGCCACGAAGUUGGUGGACGAAAGAGGAUAUUUCUUGUCAAAGGUGUACUUGCUAGACCCAACAUAAGAAAAAAAAAAAAAUCCUCAUGGAAACUUUGUUGCUCCGAAUAUUUAACUAAUUAUUUUUAAUUAUAAAAUCAAAAUUUGUAGCAAGAUAUAAAAAAUAAUUCAUUGCACAAUGUUACUUGUAAUCACAAAAAAUAAUUUUUAGUAAAAUCAUUAUAUAUUUAGUAGUUUAUUCCCUUCUAUAAAAUACUUAAAGCUUAUAAAUCAAAAUGGACUAUAUUAAUCGGUUUGAAAACUAGGGCAACAAGUGGUUGAUUUAUUAUUGUGUCAGGUGAGGUUGCAUUUGUUAAGUUAUUAAAAAAAAAUGUUAUUAUAUUUUAUCAUCUUCACUUGGUCUGCCAUUUUCAAUAUUUUAACAAAUAUUUAAUUGAAAAUGGAGUGAAUGAUUCUAUUCUCCCAUGAAUCACAUGGUCGCACCAUUUUCAAUAAAGAAUCCCAUGGUCACACAUUUUCAAUAUUUUUAAAAAUAUUUAAUUAAAAAUAGUGUCAAUGAUUCUAUUCUCCCAAUGAAGGUUUUGGUUGUGAAGGAUUCAUUUAAUAACAUCUAUUUCUCGGCUCUAGAAGGACAACAAUAUUUAUAAAAUAUUAUUUGAAAAAUGAAUUUUCAAAAAUAUUGAGCUACAUCAUAGGGAACUUUUAUAAAUUAAUUUUAUUUAUCUAAUUUAUUUUAUUAAAACUUUACAUAAAUCCCUAUCAUUGGAAAAGUCUUUCUCUUUCUCUUUAUAUAUAUAUAUAUAUAAAUUAUUCAUUUUCUUUAUUCGGAUUAGGACUAAGAAGACUGGUUGGGACAUCAAAUAUUCAUCUUGUUCGGUCUUUGGAUGCUUAUAUAACUAUGGAAACUUGUUGAAGUAACUGAUUCCUGAAAAUUAUGGGGUAUGAAAGACAAAGAAAUUGUUGGAGUUUCCAUUUCAGUCUAGUAUAGUACCAAUACAAACAUGCAUGAUGUUAAGAAAAGAUUUUUUAUAGGAAGGUUAUAUCAUGUACAUAAAUUAAUUUUUUUUAAAAAAAAGCAAAUUAAUCAUUAGUUUUUGAGGAUUCAAAGAAUGAUGGAUAAAAUGAGAAAAGACAAUCUAGAGUUUCUUCUUAUGGCAACUUAGAAGCAAAAACACACCAAAAAGAGUUUAAGUAGAUUUACAAACAAAGAAAAUAAAAGACUAAAAAGAAUAAUUUACCUUUUUAGACUAAAAAUAUAAAUAACCCUAACAUCCCUAUCAGAUAUACUCCUAAAAAGUUAUAAUAUAAUAAAUAAAUAUAAGUAACUCUAAUAACUCUUACAUCCCUAUUAGAGUUUGACAAAUGCUUCAAAAACAUUAUAAAUACUCAAAAAAUUAGAAUGAUAUUUCAUAAGAUAAAUCCAACAAUAACGAGUAUCAUCAUUAAUGAAAUAAACAUAAUAUUUGGACCCUUCUUUUGUGAAAAUUGAAGAAUGUCUCCAUAUAUCAUAAUGAAAAAAUAAAAUGAUGCUGAAUAAGAUGAGUCAAUUCUAUUAAAAGACAAGACAAUGAAAAAGAAUAUAUAGAAAUCGAUCAAAUAUAAAAAAAAAAUAUGUAUAAGUAAAUUUUAAGUUUUGUAACCUUUUUUCCUUCAACCAUUUUCUCAAUUACAACAUCUAUAGAAUAUACACCAUUUUUUGACAUAUACCCUGCUUUACUUUUUUUUUUUUUUGGGGACUUUUACCAUUUAUGUAUUGAUUUUCGUUAAUAAUCUAAGCAAUUAUGGUUUUCGGCCAUGAAGUAAAUGCUGGAAGAAAGAGGAUAUAUAUUUCAUGUUAAAGGUGUAUUUGCCACAAAAAAAAAAAAAUCCUUAGUGGGAACUUUGUUGUUCCGAAUAUGUAACUAAUUGUUUUUAAUCAUAAAAUUAAAAUUUGUAGCAAGACAAAACAAAAUAAUUCAUAGAAAACUGUUAUUUGUAAGCAAAAAAAAAAAAAAGUAAAAUCGGGCUUAAAGUAGAAUAAAAGUUGGUGAUGAAAGGUUAUCUUUGUGAGAUUCAAAAGAAUUAUCAUAGGUAGGGAUGGUGAUGAGACGAGUUUUUAGGUACUCAUCCUAUCCCGUCCUUAAUAAUGGGUUUGGAAAAAAUGUAAACAAGUUUCCCACCCCACCUUGAUUAUAUAUUGCUAGGAACUUCAGGUAACCCCAUUCCUUAGCCUUAAAUCAUGUAAGGUGUAUGUAACUAUCUUUAUGGCUCUAUAGAUCUAACACAACCGAAAAACAUGGCAACAAAAACCUUUAUUAUAGUAAAUCUAGAGAGAAUAUAGUCAUACUGAUAUGGAUGUUCCUAGAUAAAUUUCAAGCCAAUUGAGAUGCCGAAGAAGAAUUUGAAACCGUAGAAAGCACUAUAAGGUUUCUUCCACCCAAUCUCUCCUUACAUAGAUCUAGGCACAAGAAAAUGGUGGUUUUUUCUUUCUAAAGGAUGACUAAGAGUUUUCUGUAGAGAUUCUUUAGAAGAAGAUAGACAAAAGUCUAAGGCCCUAAACCUUAAGGGAGUAUUUAUACGCUUUCUUGUGGGCUUAAGUGACUUGAGUUUGGGUCACUUAAUUCAACAUACCUAGGUCCUAAUUAAUUAAUUAGCCCUAAUGACGUCCAAUUAAUUAAUCAUCUCAUACCAAAAAGAUCAUUCAUAAGUUCUAGUGCAACCUUGUACUUUUACCAAAACACCCUUAUGCAAUCUUAUGAACUAGAAACCUAAAAUCCUUAAAACAAACAUGCCACCAUAAACUAGGAGCUCAAGUGGGAACCACUAGAACACAUAAGAAAAUAUUAUCAGGAUAGAGUCCUUAAAAGCAUGACAUGAUGUAAUAAACAUGUUGACUUUUAUUAUUUAUUUAAUUAAGUUUCAGUUCACUUUUAUUUAUCCUAUUCCCAUGCAUUUUAUCUUGUAAGCACUCUCACAUGCAUCUUUUACAUUAUAUGUGACUUUAGCGUAUUAGGAGUUAUAUGGAAGAUUCAAGUCAUAAGUUCCUUAUAAAUAGAUGACUUGGUUACAGCUAGUUCAUAGGGUUAGGCAAUUCAUUAGAGGUUGUAAUGCACUAUCUCCUAAUUUUGGAGGGAUUAUUGGUCUUGGCUAUUGGAUGAGUUUCCUAUAGUGAGUGCACUAGCGUGUAUGGUUACACAUUGGAUAAAAUUUUGACAUACAUACUAGUACACUCACCAUGAAAAUCUCAUUUCAAUAGUUAAAAUAAAUUAUCCAUUCAAUUAGGAGGUGAUGCACUAUAAUCUCUCUUGGAUUGCCUGAUCCCAUGCCUCGGGAGAAUUCUUAUCAGCCAUGGCUCGUCCAACAGUAACAAGGGCAAGUGGCAAGCCUUUGCAGCGUUCUGCCACCUUUUCAGAAAGAUGUGGUAUGUCAAAAUGAGAAUUUAGAGUGUUCUCUCCGACUUUCUCCAUGAACAAAGCCAAGGCUUCUCCUCGUGCCAAAAACUCUACUCUAAACUGUCUUUGCAAUGGAACGCCCAUUUCAGUACAUAUUUUCUGACUUCAAGUUGUGAUUAUUACUUUGGAUUGGUUUCGAAUAAUUGGAAGACAAAAUCCUAUUUGUGAGAGAUCAAGUCUUUGCCAUACAUCAUCUAAAAGUAGGACAAAUUAUUUUGUUUCCAUGAUGUCGAAUAUUUUUUUAGCUCUUUCCUCUAUUCCACCUUGCCACAUGUUAUCCAAGAUCUCUAAUUGAUUUCGAAUCACCUCUUGAGCAGCUCUCACACUUUCUUGCUAGGACACGGCAACCCAAAUCACUAUAUCGAAUUGGCUAUUUGUUUUGAGGAACUCAUUGUUGAUUUUCUUCAUUAGUGUUGUUUUUCCAAUGCCUUUUUUUCCACUUGAAAAUGCGAAUCUCAAUAAUGGACUACACCUAAAAGGGGGGUGAAUAGGUGUUGUAGAACAAUUUCAAAAAUCUCCCAAGAAAGAUUACCUAACCUUAGACUUUCUCAAUGUUAAGAACUUUAUUUUCCAACAACUAUUCAACAAAGCAUAACAUCCACAAGCAAGAAUGUAUGCAACAACCCUCUCCCAACAAUUUAUAAAUGCAAACUACAUGCAAAUGCUUCAAAAAUCCUAAAAAAAUAAAAUAAAAAAUCAAAAGAACAAUUAUCUCUUCAACUCACAUCAAUUCACUUCAUGAUAUCAUUGACCAAAAUGAGUAGAAAAAUUAUUAAGGAUAUUCCAUGGAUCAUCACACUUAUAUCACCUCAUAUUUCUUCCAUUCAACAUAUAUACCCAAGUAAUCAAGGAUAUCAAAAACAAAAAUUAAAUCAAAGUGUAGAGUAAGAGAAAUAGACAAUUAACACCGGAUUUUAAAGUGGAAAACCUCCAAAGAGAUAAAAAACCACGGGCCUACCAUUGAUUGAAAAACUCCACUAUGAAGAAUAAAGACCGAGUACAAGGUUUUACCUAGCUCAAGCUAACCAAUCCUUCCCAGACCACUUAACUAGUACCUUCACUUUCAGCUUGUCACCUUCAUAUCCCGGAGCACACUUGGAGUCCGCACCAAGUUCAAUCUCAGCUUCUUCUUGAAUCCACACAAGAAGAAAAUGGGUUUUUGCACAAACCCAAAUAGAAUGAGAGAUUGAGAUAUGAAAGAAGGAAUGAAUCAACCCAUUUAUUGCUCAAGAAAAUCCAUUAAAAACUUGUUUGGAAAACAUUAAAAGAAGUGGAUUUUCUUUACAAUCAAAAACCCCAAAUUAGGAAAACAAGAUAAGAAAAUGAAGAACACAUGGAGUGGCUGCUCUCUUCACGUUUUCUGCAGUUCCUCCCCAGAAAAAUGAGAGAAGAUUGCUUUUUAAAGAGUAAAGAGAAGCCUUUAAUCUAAUGGCUGAGAUUUGAUCUAAAAAAAUUAGUUGGAUCGAUCCACUCCUGCACCUAGAUCAAUCCAGAAACAGGGGAAUAAAAAUCUUACACAAAAAACCAUUUCUCCCAACUUUCUAACACAUUUAAAGAUGAAAAACCAGGUUGAUUCACAUUCAAUCACCACACACUCGACUACAUACCUCAGCCUCUUAGCAAAGUCUUAGUCUUCAAAGUCAAGUGGUCCGAAGAGGAAUUGGAAAGUCGAGUUAGGGGACACUUAGGAAUUUUGUUCGGAAUUGCCAACCUAGCUAAACACUCACAAUCUCCCUCUUCGGCAAUUCUGGGACAAAACCCUUUACAACACAAAUGAGUACAAGUAAGUAAGCCCCACCCAACUCUCAUACAAGGCCAUUCACUCACUCACUCAAAACCACAACUUAGGUACUACAAAACUUGCAAUUGAAGCUCACAAACAAAACAAUUAGAAGCACCUGUGUAAAGCAACUGAAUAUACAUAAUAUAUCAACAAGUAUAUCCAAAAAGUUUAAUGUAUAUUCAAAUCCAAAUGAGACAAGAUCACAUGUCAACAUAUAUUUCAAAAUAUCCAAUAUCCAAAAUAAUCAUCAACAUGUGGAUAUUCAAUCAUCAAAAUAAUAAUUGCAAUGUUUCUUCCUCUUUUUGUCCUAGAAAGAGACAAAGGGCCACAAUUUCACCAUUUCUAUCCCAAAAAAAUAAAUAAACGGAUGACAAUUCAAUAGUAAUUCUAUCUCACAUCCAAAUCAACAAAAUGUCAAAUACCCAAAAAUCAUGUAUUCACAUAUCACAAGUAUCCAUAUCAACAUCCUAAAAAAAUAUAGGAUACAAGAAUCUUCCUUUAACUUCCAUCAUAAAAUAUACGAAACUCCCCAUAAAUCUCCUCACAUGGUUUCAUUUAAAAACUUCCAAAAAAUGCUUUAUCACCAUGAAAAUAGAUUCUAAGCAUGAAAAUGUAUAGAGACCACUCACAAUGAGCAAACAAAGCUUAAGAUUAACAUUGCUGAUUCAUGCCCAGUCGGUGUAUCAGCUGAUUCAUGUCCAGCUGGUGCUCCUUGGUUGAGGUAGUAAUCAACAAAAUUUAUAACCUAUUACACCAUGAACUAGGGUAGCAAAGACAAAGCUACUAUAGCAUAGUGGCUCUAGGAUCGUUCAUUGGGAAGGGUUUUCAACUCACAACUGAUACCAAUUCAAAGCUGAGUUGGUGCUUUUUCAUCUCAAGGUUAGCUUUAAAAGAAAACAUAAAGUUGUUUGAGUGAAAAGGGUUUGGUCUUAAACUAACCAAAAAGAAAGUAAUGGAAAUUACUUAUGAAGAAAAACAUUCCUUGGAGGUUUAGGUUCACAGGGGAGGUUACUUAUGCAAAAACAGAGCUCCGGUCAUUUGGUUCAUUUCCUCGCAUUAGAGAAUUAACCUAUAGUCAAUUCUCUAACCGGUGAUGUACAGAUAUAACCUUUAAAUGGAUUUCAACUCUAAUUCUCUCUCACUGAUGCAACUUGCAAUGGCUCGUACCUCUCACCUAGCAUUUGUCAUUCAAGGUGAUCUUUAACUUUGGACUUCUCUUCUAAAGCUCGCAAGAGAUAACUAAUGGAUGUUUCCUUGGAGCCCAAAAGCUUACCUAGUGUUGUCAAUUCUAGAAAAUCCUACCUCCAAGUCACUUCCCAAAAGCUCGCAAGAGAUAAACAAGUGCAUCUCCAUGGACGGAGAUCACGUGCCUUACCAAAUGUUGGCUCAAGUGACUUGAAGGUGUUUUAAGUUAACUAAAAACAUAGAAAUCAUUAAAGGAUCACACUUUCUCUUCAUUCAUGACUGAAACCACAAAGCUACUAAUUCUUGCACUUGGAACCUUUCCCUACAACCUUAACUCCAAGGAACUAAAAGUCUAGUCACUCAUUCUCUGAGGAAACUUCCUCAGAGCUUGUUUGGCUAGUAAGAAAACUAACGAGAAAACAAAUAUAUGAAGGACAAACAGAGCAAGUGCUCUGGAAAUAUAUUUCUUUCUUCCCUUGAUUACAUAAUUGAUUGAUUCCCUUGUAAAGAAAAUUACAAACUAUAUAUAUAUGAGGUUAUUCACCCUUUUUACUUACUUAAAGACUAAGGAAUCCUAUGAUAAGUGGAUUACAAGGAGAGUUUGGGGAUUUAGACAACAAAUAUCUAAAGCAAAAUAUCCCAAAAUAUCUCAAAAUGUCAGUCGGAAAUAUCAGGAAGCUUUAGGAGAACUCUGCAGCUGUGCAUGUCAGACUGGGUAGGCGCUACUAGAGGAUCCGAAUAUAUCUGACCGGAGAAGUUGAAACGUCCUCCUCUCCCAUCCGGAUGUGAGAUAUCCGGAUGUAAAAUGUCGGCGUACGAAAUUCUGGAUAUGAAAUGUCGGCGCACGGAAUUUUCGGAUAUGAAAUGCCCUACGCCGCCAGGCUAUCCUGCUCUCGUGAACAUCACACUCCGGAUGAUAACAUAUCCUAUCCGGAUAUGGUGUCUAGAUGGAAAACAUUGACUAAAGUGAGCAAGCCUUCCUACAGCCCACGUUCCGCCGCUCUCCAAUGGUGUGUCCGGACGCCCUGUCUGGACAUCUUUUGCCAUGGAUUCCAAAGAACUUUCCUCAAUCUUGUAUUGCUUUGAUGAUCAAAAAGCUAUCAAAACACCAAAACUUAACACAAUUUGAUUAGAAUUGAUUGCCAAGGUCCUUAAUAUGUUAAUUGGGUUAAAAGGUGAUAACUACUACUCAAAAGUGUUUAAAAGAGUUAUUUACAAGCUACGAAAUAGCACUUUUUGAGUAGUAAUCAAUUGCUAGAAACCAAGAACAAUCCAAGUAAAAAAUGAAACUCCAAAUAAAUAAAUAAAAACUCUUAUGAAAGGAUUCCACAAAAAGAAAGCAUCUAGAUUAAGCUAAUGGUGGAGAGAAAAAUGGACAAACCGAACACCCAAGGUUCCCGAAGAAGAUAGCUUAAGCUAAGAAACCCGCAAAUGAGCCUCUCCAAAAAAAAUGACUCCAAUUAAACAUUGAUGUAGAGAUUUCCGACAUUGAAAAGAAUGAUGAUAGAGGAGCACUUCAUCAGAAAUGAAUUUCAGCAACCAUGGCAGUGGAAGCUUGAGCAAUGAAGAAGAGAAUAAGAAGAAGAUGAAGCCUUUUUUUGAAAGAUUUUGAAAUUAGGGCUCAAUUGAGAAUGGAAGAGGAGGGUUUUUAAAGAUUGGGGAUUUUGAUUUUUUUUUUUUUACACGGAAUGACAAUUUUACCCCUCAUAUCCCCUUUAAAAAAACUCACAAAACCAAGGGCAAAACAUGAAUUUUCUUCACUAAGAGAUAAGUGGUAUCGAUCUUGGUGGAUCGAUCCAGGUUUCUUUCAAGGGCUCUUGGUCAGAAGACUGUGCACACAGUGGAUCGAUCCACAAAUUCAGUAGAUCGAUCGACACCCUACUGAAAAAUGACUUAGACAAAAAAACUAACGAUAAGACAUAAAAAAAACAACACACUAACAAACUUUCCAAAAAUUUAAAAUUUUGAUUCACCAAAGCUAAGAUACAAUAGAAUGACAUACUUAUUUUUCAAUCAAGGAGUUAGAAUUGAUUCAUAUUGAACAAGAAUUCUACCAAGAGCUUAACUUUAGACAAAAUUAAUAAACAUAAAGAUUGAAGAACCUUCCACAUUUAUCAAAUGAAUAGGUAAAAAACAAAUGAUUAUCAACACUCUAAUAAGGAAGAUUAAGCUCAAAGAAGACUUACUCAUGACGCCAUAAAAUAGUAAGAAUGUUAAUUUCUUUCCUCUUAUAAACCUAUAUCCACCCUGCAUAAAGCAAAAAAACGUUUUUAAGACACACUUCCUUCAUAGAGAAAUUCAAGAUAAUGUUCCAAGAAGUCAAUUUGCACCUCUCUUGGCUAGAUUUUUUAUUAACACGACCUAUUCACAUCCCAAAAAAUUCAUACAUCAUUUGUUUUUCACAUUGAGCAUUGAAAUGAUUACACAAACAUGAGCUUAACCCUUAUGAUCAAUUUUUUAUUUUUUUUAUUUUUUAUUUUUUUACUUAAGGAUCACUAAGGUGACCUUUACAACAUAACAACAUAAGAGAUGUCCCACUCUUGCAAUGAAGGCUUUUUAACUCUUGAAAUAUUGCCAAGAAGUCAUAACCAUUCUGGGAAGCUUAAUAUUUCUCUUUUUCUUUUUUUUUUCCCUUUUUUUUUUUUUUUUUAAUUUCAAAGAGAGGGCAAACAAUCAAGGAAGAAUAAUCUUAAACACUCAAGGAUAUUCCAAGUGACUUUACUCACUUUUUAAUGCUCAUUAGAUAAACAUAAGUUUGCAUUUAGACUAUAAAGAACAUUACUCACCAUUUAUGCAAUCACAAGGUUCAACCAUGAGCUGUUACUCACUUAAAAGAAAUGAAGCUAACCUUUUGUGGUUUAUCUAAUCAAAUCAAAAUAGCAAGGAUUCAAUAUCAUGUUUAUCAAUCAAGCCAUGGAGAUAAAAACAUCUUGAAGCUUUUAAGAUCAUUAUGAGUCAAUUUAACUUUUAAACAAAAGUGUAAGCAUGUCACUCUCAUGAACUUAGCAAAUGUUGAAAAUUUAUGAAAAAUGAAGAAAAGAUUGAACCAAAAACAAAAAGAACACCACCACAAGGACACUUUGGAACUUGAGAAGACACCUAGGACUCAAAGAUAUGUAGCAAGAAAGUCCUAGACAAGUUCUGGAGGCAGUUAACAGAGAGUAUAUAAACCUAUGGGGCUCCUAAGUGAUUCAAACCUAGAAACAUCCAAAGGUUUAGUAACAUUGUUAGCAAUUUGACCCUCUAUAGGGAAAAACUCUAGUGAAAUAACCUUGUCUUCUACCAAGUCUUGAAUGAAGUGAUGCUUCAUGUCCACAUGUUUUGAUCUAGAAUGAAGAACAUGGUUCUUUAACCUAUCAACAACAUUGGCAUCAUCAAAUUUUCUCCCCCUGUCAAUCCUAACUUUUACAAUGGGAUGUUCUUUUUCAUUUCGCAACAAUCUAUGUUGCAACAAGUGACUAACACAUGCAAUUUUAAAACUUCCACACACAAGAGAAGAUGAUGAAGGAGAUUUUUGACUAACAACAUAACAAUUAUCACAAGUUCUCAAGCCAAUCAUCACACAUGCAUCAUUCAAGUCAAAACACCUUGCAAAGAUUUUGUGAAAAAUGGAUAUUGAACUCAUUCUCACACAUUUGGCUUAUGCUAAUUAAGUUAGCCUUUAAACCUUCAACAUAUAAGACCUCUUCAAGAUUGGGAAUGUUGGGGGCACAAAUGGUACCUUUGCCUUUCACUCUAGCCACAUUUCCAUCUCCAAAUGUCACAUUUUCUCCAUCAAAUUCAGUGAAUGAAGUGAACAAAGAUUUAUUUCCAGUCAUAUGAUGUGAACAUCCACUAUCAAGAUACCAUAAGUGUGUCUCACUAGCUCUAAAUGUGGUAUGGACAACAAAACACUUCAACUCAUUCUUUUUCAACCAAACUUGUUUAACAUUUGAGACUUUUGUCUUUUCAUUCAAACUGCUUCCUUUCAACUCACCAUUAUGAGAAAUAUUUGAGCUCUUCUUGGUCACUCUUUUAUUCUCAUUCAACAACCUAUUCUUCAAAGCAUGACAUUCAUUCAUUAGGUUGGUCAACUUCCUUUGAAAAUUAUCAAACAAUCUUGCAUAACAUCUAUCAAAAGUGUGUCCCAUUUUUCCACAAUGAUUGCAAUGAAACUUGAUUUGAGACUAAGUUUUCCUAGGAAAUCUUUUUUCACAAGGCUUAACAAAAACUGUUUUACUACUACUUGGAGUAGCAUUUCCACCAAGAAAUUCUAAGCCUCUUUUAUCAAAAGAUUUACGCCCUAAAUUAAUAAACUCAUUAAGUCUUUUAGAGCUAGGAUGUAACUCUUCCUUCCUAAGACUUAACUCAUCCUUGAACAUUUGAUUUUCACUUUUCAAUACAUCACAUUUUUCCUUCACUUCCAAAUGUUCAUUUUCAAGAAAUGCAAUUUUAUCAAGCAAGGCAUUCUUUUCUCUCUUUAAAACAUCAACCUCAUUGGUUAAAAUCUUCUUAGAAGCCUUCCACUUGACUUGUUCUUGUUUAAGGCUCAAACACUCCUUAUACAAAGCCUCUUAUGUUGUAUCAAAACUCAUGUCAUCAUCAUUGGAGUCACUUGACUCACUUAACUCACUUGAAACUUCUUUUAAAAGAGGUUCCUCAUUGACACUUGCAGCAAAGGCUAUGAAGUUAGUGCAUUCCUCACUUCCAUUGGAUUCUUUUUCACUUGAUUGAUUAGACUCGGAGUCACUCCAAGUAACUUGCAUGACCUUCUUAUCCUUUUUCUUUGAUGGACAUUUACAUGCAUAGUGACAAUUUCCCCCACAUUUAAAGCACUAAAUUUUCAACUCCUUUUUCACACCUUUCUCUAUCUUUUUCUCUUUUCCAAUUGAGUUCCUCCAUUUUUUACCAUCAUUUGAUUCGUUCUUGGCUUUUCUGAAUUUCAUGUACUUCUUGAAUUUUUUAGCAAACUUAGUAAGCUCACCCUCCGACAUUUUCUCAUCAUCUUCACUUUCGGAACUUAGGAACUCUUCUUUAAUAGCUUUUAAAGCCAUUCCCUUAGCUUUCCUAGGUGAUACAAGAGUCAUCUCAAAGGUUUGGAGGGAACCUACAAGUUCAUCUAUCUUCAAGGAAUCCACAUCCUUAGAUUCUUCAAUGGCGGUGACCUUAGCUCUAAAUCUCUCUGGAAGAGAUCUUAAAAUUUUUCUAACCACUUUAGAAUUAGGGAUAGGCUCACCUGGAUUAAAGCUAGAAUUCACAAUGUCCAUCAAUUUUGCAUGAAAUUCUCCAAAAGUUUCAUGAUCAUCCAUCCUAAUGGUCUCAAACCUAGAUGUCAACAUUUGAAGCUUGGACACUUUCACGACAUUAGUUCCUUCAUGAGUCACUUAGAGGAUAUCCCAAGCCUCUUUAGCCGAAGUACAUGUAGCAAUCCUACGGAAUUCAUCCGUACUAAUGGCAUUGAAGAUGGAGUACAUGGCUUUAGCAUUAUUCUCACUUGCUUCAUUUUCACUUCUAUCCCAUUCUAAUUUAGUCUUGAGAACAUUAGUUGGUCUACCUUCUCUAUCCAACACCUUAGGCAGAAACUAACCAAAUUCAACGGCGCUCCAAACUUUUUCACUUUGCAUUUUGAGAAAAUAUUGUUUUUUCACUUUCCAAUGAGAAUAAUUUUCGUAGGUUAAAAAUGAUGGUCUCCCAAUGGAAGCUCCCUCUUGAUGAGGUUCCAUGAUUGAGAUUCAAGGACUGAAAAUGAUUUUUUUCUUUAAAAACCUGCUCUGAUAUCAAUUGAAAAAGUGAAUCUCAAUAAUGGACUACAACUAGAGGGGGAGGGGGAGGGGGUGAAUAGGUGUUGUAGAACAAUUUCAAAAACCUCCCAACAAAGAUUACUUGACCUUAGACUUUCUCAAUGUCAAGAACUUUCUCUUCCAACAACUAUUCAAUAAAGCAAAACAUCCACAAGCAAGAAUGUAUGCAACAACACUCUCCCAACAAUUUAUAAAUGCAAACCACAUGCAAAUGCUUCAACAAUCCUAAAAAAUAAAUCAAAAGAACAAUUAUCCCUUCAACUCACAUCAAUUCACUUCAUGAUAUCAUUAGCCAAAAUGAGCAGAAAAAUUAUUAAGGAUAUUCCAUGGAUCAUCACACUUAUAUCACCUCAUAUUUCUUCCAUUCAACAUAUAUGCCCAAGUAAUCAAUGAUAUCAAAAACAGAAAUUAAAUCAAAGUGUAGAGUAAGAGAAAGAGACAAUUAACACCGAAUUUUAACAUGGAAAACCUCCGAAGAGAUCAAAGACCAUGGGCCUACCACCGAUUGAAAAACUCCACUAUGAAGAAUAAAAACCGAGUACAAGGUUUUACCUAACUCAAGCCAACCAAUCCUUCCCGGACCACUUGACUAGUAUCUUCACUUUCAGCUUGUCACCUUCAUAUUCUAGAGCACACUUGGAGUUCGCACCAAGUUCAAUCUCGACCUCUUCUUGAAUCCACACAAGAAGAAAAUGGGUUUUUGCACAAACCCAAAUAGAAUGAGAGAUUGAGAUAUGAAUGAAGGAAUGAAUCAACCCAUUUAUUGCUCAAGAAAAUCCAUUAAAAACUUAUUUGGAAAACAUUAAAAGAAGUGGAUUUUCUUUGCAAUAAAAAACCCCAAAUUAGGAAAACAAGAUAAGAAAAUGAAGAACACAUGGAGUGACUGCUCUCUUCACGUUUUCUGCAGUUCCUCCCCAGAAAAAUGAGAGAAGAUUGCUUUUUAAAGAGUAAAGAGAAUCCCUUAAUCUAAUGGCUAAGAUUUGAUCUAAAAAAAUUAGUUGGAUCGAUCCACCCCUACACCUAGAUAGAUCCAGGAACAGGGGAAUAAAAAUCUUGUACCAAAAACCAUUUUUCCCAACUUUCUAACACAUUUAAAGAUUAAAAACUAAGUUGAUUCACAUUCAAUCACCACACACUCGACUACAUACCCUAGCCUCUUAGCAAAGUCUUAGUCUUCAAAGUCAAGUGGUCCGAAGAGGAAUUGGAAAGUCGAGUUAGGGGACGCUUAGGAAUUUUGUUCAGAAUUGCCAACCUAGCUAAACACUCACACCACAUAAUCCAAUAAUUCUUACUUGAUGUUCAGUGGUGAGGCACCUGCACACUCUUUUAUACAACCGAUCUAUGCCCACGAUAUUCCCAAGAAGCAUUUCAUCUACCACAUUGCCUAGUAUAGUAUAAAAAUGUUCUAUAAGUUCAUCAUUUCUAAUCACAUAUUCCUCGGGAAAUAUAAAUCAAUAUAUGAAACAAGGUUUGGUGAUAGAUAAUAACUUAACUUCAAAACAUGGAACAAUUGAUCCUCCGUACCUGAAAUUUCUAGUAGGAAGUUCUCCAGUUCCUGUAUCGCUUGUUCCCAUUCCCCGAGAGUAUUCUUGUCAGCUAAUGCUCGUCCAACAGUAACGAGUGCAAGUGGCAAGCCUUUGCAUCUCUCCAUAACGUUGUGGGCAAGAUUUCGUAUAUCAGGUUUAUAACUUAGAGUGUCCUCUCCGACCAUCAGCAUGAACAAAUUCGAAGCUUCUCUCGAUGGCAAACACUUUACUUGAAACCUCCCUUGAGCUUCCAUCUCAUUGCAGAUUUUCAAGGAUCAAGUUGUGAUUAUUACUUUGGACCUGUUUUUAGCAUCCGGAAGAGGAACUCCUAUUUCUAAGAGAUCAAGUCGUUGGCAUACAUUGUCUAACAAUAGCACAAACCUUUUUGUUUUCAUGGUAUUGAAUAUUUCUAUGGCCUUUUCAUCCUGACUUCUAUUUUGCCACAUUCUACUACUGAUCUGUAAUUUGUUUCCAAUCACCUCUUGAACAUCUGUCACGCUUGCUUGAUUGGACACUGCAACCCAAAUCACGUGAUCAAAAUCGCAAGAUAAUUUGAGGAAAUCGUUGUUGAUUUUCUUCAUUAGUGUUGUCUUGCCAUGUGAUGUCCCACAUUGGAUAAGGGAGAAUGUUCUUGAUAUGCUAUAUAUGUAGAGGCUCCUCUUAACCAAGUAGACGCGUUUUAAAGUCGUGAGGGCCCCCUUGGGCCCAAAGCGGACAAUAUCUACAUAGUUGGGUGCGGGUCAUUACAUGCCAACACCGCGUACUCCAUAUAAUCCAACAAUUCCUACUUCAUCUUCGUCAAAGCAGCUGCACACUUGUGACACGGAGAAUCUAAUCCUAAGGUAUGCCCAAGAGGUAAUUCAUCUACAACAGGACGAGGCAACAUGGCUGCCACAGUUGUAAAAUCUCCUCUUGUUAUUAGGCCCGCCACAAGCGUGCUUAUUUGAGACCACGGAUAGGAGAGCUAUAAGUGGCGGUGCAAUCCCACAGCCUAGUGGCAAGAGUGAGGAUUGGGCUCACAGCUUCCAUGCUCUCAGGGAAUCUGAAAAACCAGGACCCGAAAUUCAAGACGGUAGAAAGAGCAAUGAAGGUGAUGGCUGCUAGCUGUAAUACGGGGGGCCAUGAAUAGUUAGUCCUUUGUACAGCUGGAAGGGCCCGAUGCACUGCAAGUCUACAACUACUGCAACACAGAAUUUAAUUUUUGUUUCCACGUACACAAGAAAGCAUGAUGAAAUUUCAUCAUUUUUGCUCUUUUAAAAAUACAAUACUCAUUAAACACUAUCAUUGACAUCAAAAGGAGGUUGCCAGCCUCAAAUAUGCAUCAACGAUGAUGAAAUGCAACACUAGACAUGGGUGUUUGUGAUUUAUCUUAUUCAAAAUUUCCAAGUAAAAUUAUCAAUGUAUUCAAGUCGGUGACACAAGUGUUUCAUUGCCUCAUGUUGGACAUGCUUUUAUAAGUAUAACUCCUUUUUAUUAUCAGGAACCUAGCAAAACUGGAAACCGCGAACUUAGUAUUUGACUAAGUAAUAAAUAUCUUUUUACAAACAAGCCCUAUACGGAUAAAUUUUCUAGGUGAUACGCAACCCAAUUAACAAAUGAGUCUAUUAUAUAUUUAUUAUUAAAUUUAAUUUAUUCUCAUUAAUUAUUUAUUAUAUAUUAUCAUUUUAUAUUUAAUGAGUUUGAAAAAAUUUAUUAAAAUUAUAAAUACAAAAAAAUGAAAAACUGAAAAAUAGAAAAAAAGAAAAAGAAAUUAAAGAGGGUUCAUGAGAGAAAAUAUAAGUGUCCAAGGCAUGGAAAAGGGGAUGUAGUGGUGGAAAAAAAAGUUAUAAACAUGAUGGAAGGGUACACAUUUUCUCUUUUCUAUUUAUAGAAUAAAAAAUAAUAUUUUUUUUAUAUAGGAUGCAAGAAUUCUUAUAAAAAGUGCAUUUGGUAGUGAUUUCAAGAAGCGUUUCUAGUUUUUAUAAUACUUAAAAGGUAAAAAACUUUAAGUAUUAAAAAUAUUAAAAGCAUUUUUUAAAAUCACUAUCAGACGAACUCUAAAUUGAAAUAAUAAUGAUUUUACAAGCAAAUUAAAAAAGAGAUGUUUUUACAUCAAAUGAUUUUAAAAGAUGUUUCUGAUUUUAGAAACAAAAAACAGAAAGUGCAUGCAUCCAAAUGCACAGUAAGUUUGAGCUUAAUGAAAUAUUUUACAUCUAUUUACAUUAAAUUGAAAACACAAACUAUGGACCCAUCAAAUCAGCAACACCUGCAAAGUGAUGCCUUUUGAGCAGCAUAUACAACUCCACUGCACCAUUUAGAGUUUACAAAAAAUAGUCUCACACAAGCAAACAACAAAUAAUACAACAUUUGAUGUUAUCCCCCACACACCACUCAGCACCAAAGCAUAUGCAAAUAGCUUUAUUCCAUCACACUUCAAACACUCAUCCUGCAUAAAUAACAAUACACAGACAUUGUUAUGAACAGUACAUGGGAACUAUGUCAUGCACCGAGAAAACAUCAAGCUGCAUAAAGUAUAUAAAACAUCGAAUUUGCAAAUACUAUUUCUGAAUCAAUGUUCAAAUUAAAACUUAAUCUGCAGUAGUUGCAGACAAUUCUUUUUUUCGGAAUAUAGAAUCUGUUCUUACGGAUAUUUAAAUUUUCCAACAAAACCAAUUAUAAAAUAAGAGAGGAAAAAAUAAAAUAGCAUUUUUCCAUGUUUAUUAGUCAUAGUGCCAAAGAGCCACUAAGAUUUUGCAGGUAUGUCCACUCAUCCACCAGUGAAGCACCUUCUGUUAAUAAGAUUAGACUUGAGCAACACUUGUGUUUAUACCAUAUGAUUCUACCAAAUAGUUUUAAUUCAAUAAUUUAGGGUUUAGUAUAGAUUUUGAAAUAAGAAAUUUUGUGAAUUUUAGAAGUUUAUGCAUUAAUUUCAACUCUUAAAGAAAGCAGACCUGUUUUGUGCAUUAUAAUCAGUGAAUGAUAUCGGAUGAAAUGACCAACUUAAGUUUUGGAGAUUUGGCUGUGGGUGGUUAAUAGUUAUGGAGAGUGAGUCAAUGGUACCUGUUCCCUCAUGAGUUUUAACUUCUGUGCUUGAGAAGCUGUGUUUAGGUGGCUGCCCUUGAGGUUGAACCUUCUACCACCAGUUUCUUCUUUCCCUGCACUUCCCCUGUUUUGUAUAAGUAGCACCUUUCUAUGAGUUGGUUAUUUUAAUAAAUCAUAAUAAUAACAGUGAUAUUUAAUAAUUAAAGUGUAAAAUUUUCGAUCUCCUACAGCAUUUAAAAACAAAGCAUCACAGCCUAAUACCUGAGUGCUGGAUUGGGUCAGCCAAGUAUUGUGGGCAAAAAUAGUUGGUGAAAGUCUCCUCCACAGAUUCAUCCUUCCAUUCCAACCUUCCCCACCAGGUUAGAUCUCCUUCAAUUUUCUUUAAGCUCUUGGCGGCACUGUUUGAAUCGAUUGGGAGCCUUCUUAGCCUCGGGCAAUUGAUCACGGAGAUUAUUUCCAAUGAGGGGAAGAGCAGUGCCCCCUGAUAGAUGCUCUCUAGCAUUGGCAUACCACCUAAUACUAGAGAUGUGAGCCUUGUGAAUAUGCUGGCGUGCUGUGUACUUGAAGUUACAUAGUCAAUACUUAUCACUUCUUUCAUGGAUUCACAGGAUUGAACACUAAGUGACUGAAGGCAUGCAGCAUAAAUAAGCCAGGUCAAGUUCAACAGUUUUGGACAACUCCAAAUCUUGACAUCACGAAGACUGCGGAAGUGUUGGUUGCUUCUCGCU
RNAcentral lists this long non-coding RNA (30639 nucleotides) under Vitis vinifera (wine grape). RNAcentral's name for it is "long non-coding RNA (VVIN_LNC002793)". The record is from RNAcentral. Lineage: Eukaryota; Viridiplantae; Streptophyta; Magnoliopsida; Vitales; Vitaceae.